GCCAGCGUGGUGUAGUGGUUUGAGUGCCGGAUUGUGAGUCUGGAGACCAGGGUUCAAAUUCCUGCUUGGCC
Molecule: non-coding RNA, 71 nt
Organism: Phrynosoma platyrhinos (Desert horned lizard)
Lineage: Eukaryota; Metazoa; Chordata; Lepidosauria; Squamata; Phrynosomatidae
Source: the annotation of a GenBank genome assembly